RNAcentral lists this ribosomal RNA (344 nucleotides) under uncultured bacterium. RNAcentral's name for it is "bacterial SSU rRNA". It matches the Rfam family "Bacterial small subunit ribosomal RNA", at positions 28 to 362 of the family's 1533-position model. The record is from RNAcentral.
GAUGAACGCUAGCGGCAGGCUUAAUACAUGCAAGUCGUGGGGCAGCAUGAGUAGCAAUACUUGAUGGCGACCGGCAAACGGGUGAGGAACACGUACACAACCUUCCUUCAAGCGGGGAAUAGCCCAGAGAAAUUUGGAUUAAUACCCCAUAAUAUAUUUGAUAAGGCAUCUUUUUAAUAUUAAAAGCUUCGGCACUUGAUGAUGGGUGUGCGGCUGAUUAGAUAGUUGGCGGGGUAACGCCCACCAAGUCUACGAUCAGUAGCUGAUGUGAGAGCAUGAUCAGCCACACGGGCACUGAGACACGGGGCCCCACGUCCCUAACGGGGAGGCCAGCAGUAAGGAAU